AUCAGGAUAAAAUAAGCUCCGUUUGUAUGCUUGAAAGACAACAAUGACUAUGAAAUAGACGACAAUGACUGUGACGAUAAAAUAAUCUCUUAUUUUACUAUUGAAUUUCAUUUAUUGAUUUUCACUUAUUGCUUGAUGAGUAAUGAAUUCUAAAGUCUUUGUUGCAUUUAUCUCCUUCAUUUUUUCCAUAUAUCUGUGUGUGCAACAAAAUUGCAAACAAAUUCAAUUCGAGAACUAGAGAAGUGAAGUUCUCAGCAAACACACACAGGACAAGAA
This 276-nucleotide unclassified non-coding RNA is filed under the name Hevea brasiliensis (rubber tree). The record is from RNAcentral. Lineage: Eukaryota; Viridiplantae; Streptophyta; Magnoliopsida; Malpighiales; Euphorbiaceae.